Molecule: ribosomal RNA, 457 nt
Filed under: uncultured Alphaproteobacteria bacterium
Lineage: Bacteria; Pseudomonadati; Pseudomonadota; Alphaproteobacteria
Description: bacterial SSU rRNA
Rfam family: Bacterial small subunit ribosomal RNA
Source: RNAcentral
GCAAUACACGAGUGGCGCACGGGUGAGUAACGCGUGGAUAUCUGCCUUUUGGUUCGGAAUAACUCCGGGAAACUGGAGCUAAUACCGGAUGGUUCCUUCGGGAUAAAGAUUUAUCGCCAAAAGAUGAGUCCGCGUACGAUUAGCUAGUUGGUGAGGUAAUGGCUCACCAAGGCGACGAUCGUUAGCUGGUCUGAGAGGACGAUCAGCCACACUGGGACUGAGACACGGCCCAGACUCCUACGGGAGGCAGCAGUGGGGAAUAUUGGACAAUGGGGGCAACCCUGAUCCAGCCAUGCCGCGUGAGUGAUGAAGGCCUUCGGGUUGUAAAGCUCUUUUGGCGGGGACGAUGAUGACGGUACCCGCAGAAUAAGCCCCGGCUAACUUCGUGCCAGCAGCCGCGGUAAGACGAAGGGGGCUAGCGUUGUUCGGAAUUACUGGGCGUAAAGCGAGUGUAGGU